ACAAUUUUUAGCGAACGACUUUACAUUCUGUGUAAAAUUCGCUUACCAGGACUAAUAAGUAGAGUAAUUAAAGCUCUUUUCUUUAUACGUGUAAACAGUACGAGUGAGAAACCGUAAAACACUUUUGUUUUUAUGAUUUAAAAUGUUUUUCUUACUUGUAAUUUUACCAUCAGAGGAUUUUGUAUUUCUGGCGAUUCGUGACAUUGUGUGUGAGCUGAGUCUGGAUCUAUUCAAGAUUCAAGAUACACAGGCCUUCACAGAUAUCAGUGCAAUUGACAUCAACAUCAAGUUCAACAGAGGACACCAAGGACAACACAUUUGCUUUCCUGGACUGUGCAGUUCUCAUAAGGCACUGAUGGGAAGCUAGAAAUGGAAUUCUAUGGAUAGCCACACAUGUGUAACGAUGAUUGCUGUUUGAUUCUCACCAGCCAAUGCAAUACAACUUAGGAGUCAUCAGGACACUACACCGCAGGGUAGAAAGCCUCUGUCCCUCAACAGAAGCCAAGAAGAAAGAAAAUCAUCUCAAGGAAUGUGGAUAUCCUAAGUGGGUUUUUACUAAGACUUCCUUCUGCUAGACUGCCAGAGCCAAUUGAAAAAACAUCUACAUGACUGGAGUAUCUGAGAAACUCAUCCACCCUAAAGAUCAGACUUUGUAAAAGUAAGGAGAGCUAUAUGAUAUUCGUGGUUCAGUGAAGAUUGUUCAGAGCUCUGCAUUGGAGAGACAAAGGCACUAUAUAGGAGGAUGUAUUAACACAGAAGAGGCAACACCUCAGAGCAAGAAACAGUUGUGUAACUUGAUCUGAAGGAUGAAGGGAACGUAUCUGAGUACCAUGAUGUACACAUCUUGGACAGAGAAGACAGAUGGUUUGAGAGAGGAGUGAAGUAGGCUAUCCAUGUCUUUGUGUAAAACCCUCUUAACAGUUGUUGGAGGUCUUGGGCACAAUUUGUCCCUUUUAUUUUUCAUGCUGCUCUUGCAUCCAUUCCCAAUAGGGCUGCACGAUUUAGGGAAAAUAUAUUGCAAUUAUUGAGGUCAAUAUUGCGAUUGCGAUAUAAUAAACAAAUGGUAUCAUGA
This is a long non-coding RNA of Tachysurus fulvidraco (yellow catfish), 1072 nucleotides long. RefSeq lists it as uncharacterized. The transcript has 2 exons. NCBI's taxonomy places the organism in Eukaryota, Metazoa, Chordata, Actinopteri, Siluriformes, Bagridae. The record is from RefSeq and is a predicted model, not a curated record.